ACGAACGCUGGCGGCGUGCUUAACACAUGCAAGUCGAACGGAAAGGCCCUGCUUUUGUGGGGUGCUCGAGUGGCGAACGGGUGAGUAACACGUGAGUAACCUGCCCUUGACUUUGGGAUAACUUCAGGAAACUGGGGCUAAUACCGGAUAGGAGCUCCUGCUGCAUGGUGAGGGUUGGAAAGUUUCGGCGGUUGGGGAUGGACUCGCGGCUUAUCAGCUUGUUGGUGGGGUAGUGGCUUACCAAGGCUUUGACGGGUAGCCGGCCUGAGAGGGUGACCGGCCACAUUGGGACUGAGAUACGGCCCAGACUCCUACGGGAGGCAGCAGUGGGGAAUAUUGCACAAUGGGCGGAAGCCUGAUGCAGCAACGCCGCGUGCGGGAUGACGGCCUUCGGGUUGUAAACCGCUUUCGCCUGUGACGAAGCGUGAGUGACGGUAAUGGGUAAAGAAGCACCGGCUAACUACGUG
Molecule: ribosomal RNA, 467 nt
Filed under: uncultured bacterium
Lineage: Bacteria
Description: partial 16S ribosomal RNA
Rfam family: Bacterial small subunit ribosomal RNA
Source: RNAcentral